GAAAUGCGAUAAGUAAUGUGAAUUGCAGAAUUCAGUGAAUCAUCGAAUCUUUGAACGCACAUUGCGCCCUCUGGUAUUCCGGAGGGCAUGCCUGUUCGAGCGUCAUUUCAACCCUCAAGCCUGGCUUGGUGUUGGGGCACUGCCUGUAGAAGGGCAGGCCCUGAAAUCUAGUGGCGGGCUCGCCAGGACCCCGAGCGCAGUAGUUAAACCCUCGCUCGGGAGGCCCUGGCGGUGCCCUGCCGUUAAACCCCCAACUUCUGAAAAUUUGACCUCGGAUCAGGUAGGAAUACCCGCUGAACUUAA
This 303-nucleotide unclassified non-coding RNA is filed under the name uncultured Diaporthe. Its description in RNAcentral is "sequence contains ITS1". The stretch from base 1 to 105 matches the Rfam family "5.8S ribosomal RNA", at positions 50 to 154 of the family's 154-position model. Lineage: Eukaryota; Fungi; Ascomycota; Sordariomycetes; Diaporthales; Diaporthaceae. The record is from RNAcentral.